CGGUGUGUAGCUCAGUCAGUAGAGCGCCUGGCUCCGGACCGGGAGGGCGCAGGGGCGGAACCUGCCACACCGG
RNAcentral lists this transfer RNA (73 nucleotides) under Actinoplanes utahensis. It matches the Rfam family "tRNA". From Rfam's summary of the family: Transfer RNA (tRNA) molecules are approximately 80 nucleotides in length. Their secondary structure includes four short double-helical elements and three loops (D, anti-codon, and T loops). Lineage: Bacteria; Bacillati; Actinomycetota; Actinomycetes; Micromonosporales; Micromonosporaceae. The record is from Rfam by way of RNAcentral.